CCCUUAGAUGUUCUGGGCCGCACGCGCGCUACACUGAUGCAUUCAACGAGUCUAAAACCUGCUCUGAUAGGGGUGGGUAAUCUUUUGAAUGUGCAUCGUGAUUGGGAUAGAUGAUUGCAAUUUUUCAUCUUCAACGAGGAAUGCCUAGUAAACGCAAGUCAUCAGCUUGCAUUGAUUACGUCCCUGCCCUUUGUACACACCGCCCGUCGCUCCUACCGAUUGAAUGAUCCGAUGAAUAUCAUGGAUUGAGGAUUAUAGCAGGUUCGCCUGUCUUGAUCUUCGAGAAGUGAAGUAAAUCUUAUCGUUUAGAGGAAGGAGAAGUCGUAACA
RNAcentral lists this ribosomal RNA (329 nucleotides) under uncultured eukaryote. RNAcentral's name for it is "partial 18S ribosomal RNA". It matches the Rfam family "Eukaryotic small subunit ribosomal RNA", at positions 1470 to 1796 of the family's 1831-position model. The record is from RNAcentral.